CUGCGAUCGUUUUAAGGGCAGCGGGGCAGCGUUUGUCACCUUCCGUGCCUGCCGAAGUUUCCUACUCAGCUACGAAGGUACCAGGAUGCCUAGACUGCGGGAGAAGCCGCACGCGCGAAAAAGAGCGUCGCUGGAAACAAAGACGAUAUUCGAGGACUUGGGAUCUCGCACCGGCAGCCAGCAGUCAACAGCUCGAGAAUUCGCAAGUCUAGAACUGUGCAGUGGCGCGUAUACCCCGCACGCAUGCAUUAACAUGUGCGGUCGGGCUGUCCCUGCAAACAUUUGUACGCCUUGUGAUGCUGGUCGCUGCACCGAGGCGACAUCGGAAGUUCAGGACGGUGGUUGUGACACUACGCGCACUAAGGACAAUGUGCCUUGCUUCUCUGAUGGAUAUACUCUACGUGACGCUUCGGAUGGUUCACUUCGCUGUGAGAACGGAACAGGAUCCCUUAGGAGAGGUGUACGCACAAGUCAAUGCGGGUUUUCUGGUAAGCAGGACCCCGGAGUCAACAUUUGCUUUAGCUACCGCGGACUCUUCAUCGGCGCCCUUUGAUUCUCCUGGCAAAGAGCUUCUCCUGGCUAAUGCGCUCAUGAUCAGAGCUGUAGCCGUCAGUAGCGGCAAGAUCGCCUGCUGAUCUCUACGAAAAUAAAAAGCUCCUUUUAAAAAAGUGAAGAAUAUAUUAGUUGUUUUUAUCUACAAGUUUGUUUAAUAUCGUGAGAAUAUGGUCACUACGGCCACGGCGGGGACAUUGUAAACGAGAGUACGCAUUUGACGGCAAGUUGACUUACGAGAACGCACUACGUCGCGAAUAACAUUUAAGCUGCAAUACCAUUAAGCAUGUCCGUGUGGCACCCCACGAAUGACAUUAAAGCUUAAGGCAUUAGCCCACAAGCAAGAGAAAACCCCACAAGCAAGAGAAAACUCGAGGCAGCACGAAACAACUGCCUUCGCGUAUGUCUUGGCCUUCCGAAGGGGUCGUCCCGCUCAGGGACUGUAGCAGAAGCCGGAUGCCUGCCUCUGGAAGUGCUAUGUUCGCAGGAGACACUUCGGAUACACCUCCGCCACGUCAUUCAUACGAAGAAUCACUUUUUAAAGGAUAUUUCCAGAACCCGUGCUACAUCCAGCUUUGGGCAGGCCGUCGGAAGCAUAUCUAUUUCGAUUCCUGCUCAGGCGUCACAAAUUAUGCCGCGAAACAUUUCACCAUGGACACUGUCCCCACUGGAAAUCGUGCCAUACAUACCUGGAAUCAGUUCGAAAAAGAAAAUGCCUCAAGCAGCGACUUAUCAGAUAGCUUUAGAAUAUAUGCACAAAGAAUACGCAGCCGCAACGCACAUUUUCACAGAUGGCUCUACAACUCCACAUCGUUCAUCAUGCGGACUUUUUGUUCCCUCUACAGGACAACGAUUCUCGUUUCGUCUUGAGCGAGCGACAUCAUCUACUUCAGCGGAGCUCUAUGGCAUUAAGGAGGCCCUUGUGUAUAUACUUCGACAGCAGCCUACAAAGACAUGGGUGAUAUUCACAGACUCAAAAGCAGCCCUACAAAGUAUAUGGAACAGGCACAAGCGUUGCAAUAAUCAACCAGCAGCAUUUGACAUUGCUUAUCUUCACCACAGGGCUAAGAUUGCUGGGCAUUGCAUAAAGUUCCAGUGGAUACCUGGCCAUGCCGGCAUUUCGGGAAAUGAAAGAGCGGACGAAGCUGCCAGAAAUGGACUCCAAUACCGCAAAUUCAGAAGAACAUAUUUUACAAAAGCCGACGCUUCAACCAUGGCAAAAAAAUAUGCCUAUCAAGAAAAAGACCGCAUCUUGAAUCUGCCGCUUCACCAAGACAACUUCCUACGUUACAUUGACCCAGAAAUGAGACCGAAAAUUCCACGACCACUUCCUCGACACUUAGAGACAUUGUACCAUCGUCUUCGACUGAACGUGGCAUACACGAACAAUUAUCUGUACCGCAUAGGACUUACCACUAGCCCAUACUGUGAUAACUGUCGCAACUUAGAGACAAUUGAGCACGUAUUACUAGAAUGCCCCGCGUACCGCGACGAGAGACAAUUUUUUGAGCACCAAAUGGACAUGAUUUGCCCCGGACCGUUAACGUUACCGACCAUCUUAGGUCCAAUGCCCGGCCCUUCGAAACAGCGACGGGUUUUGGAUUUAUUGUUCAAAUACCUGACAGAAAUUGGUCAAAUAGGAAAGCUUUAAGAAUUGCAUCCUUCCUAUACAAAAGCCUAAAUUUACCCGCCAUGUCACCUGUAAAAAUUAGUAUCAGGUCCAGUCGGACAUUUCAUAUUUAUUUUUAUCCUUUUUUUUUUCUCCCACUCUUAUCUGGAAUCUUUUAAUCCCAUUCCCCAUCCCUAUACAGAGUAGCAUGCCAGCGGUUAUAUACGCGCCGGCAAAAUUCUCUGUUUUUCUAAUAAAGAGCCCUCUCUCUCUCUAAGGCAUUAGCCAGUUAAUGUCAUUUUUUGUGCCCGUGUCGCAGAGUGCUAGUGAAGUGAUGUAGUCAAGAUUAAUUCCUUCAUGUCAUUUCUGUUGCUUUCGCUGCUUAAUAAUGCUAAUUGAUGUAUUUUUGCUCUUUCUUUUUAUUCCAUGCUGCAAACUCAAAUGUCAAAGCAGGGUGGGCAAUAAGUAUUUUUGUUCUGCUAUUCUCUACCUUGUGUUGUGCUAUUGAAAUUGCAAGUUUUCUUCUUUAUCCGUGUAUUUAUUUGUUCUUUGAACAGUACGCAUAUAUCUGCUUAUUGGUCUUUUUAUGUAUAUGUAUAAGGUGACAAUAAACGUUUAAUUGUAUUUGGAA
Molecule: long non-coding RNA, 2792 nt
Organism: Dermacentor albipictus
Lineage: Eukaryota; Metazoa; Arthropoda; Arachnida; Ixodida; Ixodidae
Source: RefSeq, a predicted model, not a curated record